This 1895-nucleotide long non-coding RNA is filed under the name Homo sapiens (human). RNAcentral describes it as "HSALNT0062714". Lineage: Eukaryota; Metazoa; Chordata; Mammalia; Primates; Hominidae. The record is from RNAcentral.
CACACCUUUAGCUCAUUUAAAUAAAAAGCUAUCCAAUGUUUUAUGUCCAUUAUGUCCCCCGUUAACAUUGAGCAAAAUGUUAACCCCUACUAUAUAUGCAAGGGAAAUAAAUUAAGUUGUUAUAUAGAAACCCUUGACACUAUAUGCAAUUUCUUAUGUCCCAUAUUCUGAUAAUAUCUGUCCUCUUGGCUCUUACUUCUUGGAAUUUCUCAUAAACACGGAAGCUUCAUGACAAAUUGUGUAAAUCAUCAUUUCCUCCUUUAUGAAGUAUAUUGAAGACAAAAGGGAUUAAAGUCAUUUCACAUUUAGCAAAGCUAUUUUAUGGCAACAUUGUUACAACACAAAAUAGACAUUGCAGUUUACAAUUAACAAUUACACAGUGAUUUCAUAACAAUACUACUUACUCCAAUUAACAAAAUAUUUCUUUAUAAAAAAUAUGUUCAAAAGGAGGUUUACAUUCACUUCUUCGUUUAAUAUCAAGGUUGUUAACAAUGGUCUUAGGAGAUGCAAAGACGAAAAACUACUUACCUUAAAAAUCUGUAUUCUUGAAGAUAUAUACUCCACUUGAAUAAGAUACUGCUCAAGGUUUAGGCUUCCUGGAGAACUCAGAGGAUUUUGUAGUUGUACUUAAUAUACUCAAUAGCCAAAUUUCCUAAACUUUCAUAAUUUUGCUAACCAAGGGCCCUUAACAAAGUUAAAAGACACCACAGGGUUCAAAAGUGAACAAAUAUGUUGUUUUUGUUUUAAGACGGAGUCUCAUUCUUGUCACCUAGGCUGGAGUGCAGUGGCGCAAUCUCUGCUCACUGCAACCUCCAUCUCCCGGGUUUAAGUGAUUCUCACACCUCAGCCUUCCGAGUAGCUGGGAUUACAGGCGCGCGCCACCAAGCCCAGCUAAUUUUUACAUUUUUAGUAGAAAUGGGGUUUCACCAUGUUGGCCACGCUGGUCUCAAACUCCUGACCUCAAGAGAUCCGCCCGCCUCGGCCUCCCAAAGUGCUGGGAUUACAGGCAUGCGCCACUGUGCCUGGUCACAAAUAUGUUAAUGAGCCAAUUAAGAUGGUGCUGCUCAAAUGAUUCUAAUUCAGGAAACUUAGGUUGCAGCUAGGUAAUCUCUAGUUCUCUAAAGAAUAAUACCCAAAUGACAGGAUUUAUGUGUUGAUGCAAUAAUAGCUCAGUCUGUUUCAUGACCUAGCUAGAGUCAGAAUUGGAGCGGUGGCUAUAGCACAGGGGUGGCUUUCUCCUCUCUGAAGGAAAAGUAAAGAAGUAAGAAGAAAGAGGUUGAAAGAACAGCCUACACAGUUGUUGCCCAGAUCUCAAAAUUAGCAACAAGUAUGUCAGCUGUCCUAAUUAUUACCAAACAGGUCCUGGGAGUGUCUGACACACAACAUAAUAUAGGUGCAAUCAGUUCCAGAAUCUGGUUCCUGGAUCUGAACUAAUUUAGCUAUAAGACCUUCAGCAAGACCAUCUCUAUGGCCUGCAUCUCUCUCCUAUAGGUUUGACAAAGAUUCACCUAUGAGUUUGAUGAAGACAGGCUAGCUUUUCAAAAAAACACGCAGUAAAGAGAGAUUCCUACCAGGAAAACUUUGAUGGGUGUUUUUCAAGUGUCAUCUCACAGCAGAAGAUGCCCCAAGUGGUCAAACCUUGCCAACAGCUUCAAAAAAAGGUAACUAGGAUUUAACUUUACGGUGCAUUUUGAUGUUUCCCUUUGUGUCAUAUCUGAUGAUAAAAGAACCUUAAAAAAAAAAAAAAAAAACACUAUCCAGCUUCUCCAUUCUGUCUCCUGCUUUACUUUCUCUUGUUUACAAAAUACAAAUUUAUAGCUGGAUUUGAUGCUGAAAAUUUAAUACAGUUACCUCAUGUCACAGAUAAAGAACAGAAAUGACUUGACCAAGUUCAC